UACGUAGGGGGCAAGCGUUGUCCGGAUUCAUUGGGCGUAAAGAGCUCGUAGGCGGUUCGGCAAGUCGGGUGUGAAAACUCUAGGCUCAACCUAGAGACGCCACCCGAUACUGCUGUGACUUGAGUCCGGUAGGGGACCACGGAAUUCCUGGUGUAGCGGUGAAAUGCGCAGAUAUCAGGAAGAACACCCGUGGCUAAGGCGGCUCUCUAGUACGGUACUGACGCUGAGACGCGAAAGCGUGGGGAGCGAACAGG
Molecule: ribosomal RNA, 254 nt
Filed under: uncultured bacterium
Lineage: Bacteria
Description: partial 16S ribosomal RNA
Rfam family: Bacterial small subunit ribosomal RNA
Source: RNAcentral